This 71-nucleotide transfer RNA is filed under the name Leucocryptos marina. Its description in RNAcentral is "tRNA-Met". It matches the Rfam family "tRNA". Rfam says of the family: Transfer RNA (tRNA) molecules are approximately 80 nucleotides in length. Their secondary structure includes four short double-helical elements and three loops (D, anti-codon, and T loops). The record is from RNAcentral. Lineage: Eukaryota; Cryptophyceae; Kathablepharidacea; Katablepharidaceae.
AGUGGAAUAGCUCAGCGGUAGAGCAGUGGAAUCAUAAUCCAUGUCGCGUAAGUUCAAAUCUUACUUCCACU